GCUGACGAGUGGCGGACGGGUGAGUAAUGUCUGGGAAACUGCCUGAUGGAGGGGGAUAACUACUGGAAACGGUGGCUAAUACCGCAUAACGUCGCAAGACCAAAGAGGGGGACCUUCGGGCCUCUUGCCAUCAGAUGUGCCCAGAUGGGAUUAGCUUGUUGGUGAGGUAACGGCUCACCAAGGCGACGAUCCCUAGCUGGUCUGAGAGGAUGACCAGCCACACUGGAACUGAGACACGGUCCAGACUCCUACGGGAGGCAGCAGUGGGGAAUAUUGCACAAUGGGCGCAAGCCUGAUGCAGCCAUGCCGCGUGUAUGAAGAAGGCCUUCGGGUUGUAAAGUACUUUCAGCGGGGAGGAAGGUGUUGUGGUUAAUAACCGCAGCAAUUGACGUUACCCGCAGAAGAAGCACCGGCUAACUCCGUGCCAGCAGCCGCGGUAAUACGGAGGGUGCAAGCGUUAAUCGGAAUUACUGGGCGUAAAGCGCACGCAGGCGGUCUGUCAAGUCGGAUGUGAAAUCCCCGGGCUCAACCUGGGAACUGCAUUCGAAACUGGCAGGCUUGAGUCUUGUAGAGGGGGGUAGAAUUCCAGGUGUAGCGGUGAAAUGCGUAGAGAUCUGGAGGAAUACCGGUGGCGAAGGCGGCCCCCUGGACAAAGACUGACGCUCAGGUGCGAAAGCGUGGGGAGCAAACAGGAUUAGAUACC
This 703-nucleotide ribosomal RNA is filed under the name Salmonella enterica subsp. enterica serovar Potsdam. Its description in RNAcentral is "bacterial SSU rRNA". It matches the Rfam family "Bacterial small subunit ribosomal RNA", at positions 87 to 786 of the family's 1533-position model. The record is from RNAcentral. Lineage: Bacteria; Pseudomonadati; Pseudomonadota; Gammaproteobacteria; Enterobacterales; Enterobacteriaceae.